AUUUUCGGCAAUGGGGGCAACCCUGACCGAGCGACGCCGCGUGAGUGAAGAAGGUCUUCGGAUUGUAAAGCUCUGUUGUAAGGGAAGAACCGUACCAGUAGGGAAUGACUGGUACCUGACGGUACCUUACCAGCAAGCCCCGGCUAACUACGCGCCAGCAGCCGCGGUAACACGUAGGGGGCGAGCGUUGUCCGGAAUUACUGGGCGUAAAGGGCGCGUAGGCGGCCUAAUAAGUCAGAUGUGGAACCCCCGGGCUUAACCCUGGGCUUGCAUUUGAAACUGUUGGGCUUGAGGACAGGAGAGGAAAGCGGAAUUCCCAGUGUAGCGGUGAAAUGCGUAGAUAUUGGGAGGAACACCAGUGGCGAAGGCGGCUUUCUGGACUGUAACUGACGCUGAGGCGCGAAAGCCAGGGUAGCGAACG
Molecule: ribosomal RNA, 421 nt
Filed under: uncultured bacterium
Lineage: Bacteria
Description: partial 16S ribosomal RNA
Rfam family: Bacterial small subunit ribosomal RNA
Source: RNAcentral